This 1380-nucleotide long non-coding RNA is filed under the name Triticum aestivum (bread wheat). RNAcentral describes it as "long non-coding RNA (TAES_LNC005972)". Lineage: Eukaryota; Viridiplantae; Streptophyta; Magnoliopsida; Poales; Poaceae. The record is from RNAcentral.
GUGAGUCCAGCGAGAAGAAAAGAAGACCUGGAAUUCAUCAAAAGACGCACACAAGUGCAUCAUUUGUAAGGGAGUGGUGUUCCAUGAUGCAAGGACAUGCUCUAAGAAACAAAUGACACAACAGUAAAGGUUUGUGCUUCUUGCUUUGAAGACUACCUGUUCUUUUUGUCUUGUUAUUACUGCACAAUACUAUAUGUUUUUAGACGAGUCAUAUUUGUUUGGUGUGAACCAAUCAAGCUUAAAUAAGAGUGAACUAAUCGAGCCAUGACCUAGUGGAGUAUCCAAUUUUUUUAUUAAACUCUUUCCAAUAAAAAGUAUUAUAACAGAAGAUGUUAUGUCGACGUACAUAUAUUGUUCCUGCUUCACAAUGUGAACAAUUGAAAUUGUUGCAUGUCCAUUAUUAGGGUAUCUUUUUGGUUUACUGGUCUGAACUUGUAGUGCUGCUGUCAGCAAAUAUGUGCGCAUUCAGUCCAUGUUAGGGCACAAGAUAUAAUUAGCAGGAAAUGUCUGUUGGGGGGAGCAAACGGCUGAUUGUUUUGACCUACGUGGGCUUUAUUUGGGAUAGACUUUCGGUUGCUAACAAGCCAAUGAUCCAUACAACAGUACAACCGGUCAUAAGCUAUUUGAGUUAAGAAAGUCUUAGUGGGAUGAUGAGCUGCAAAAAUUGAUACAAGUGAUUCUUCAUUGUCAAGCUGUGAAUAUAUUUGCCGUACAAUAUUCUUUUCCUUGUCUCUUCACUGGUCUGACAUGUGCCUUUGUGCUGCAGCAUCAAAUUUUUUACUUCUGUCAUCUACGAGUUAGCAAAAGUACUUGAAUUGCAUUCUUAAUUGUUCAAUACAUACGCGAUUAGGAUUAGAGAACAUAAUUUUCCUAUUUCUUUCCUUGUAAUGUAAACUAUUUUUUCCUUGUAUUUCUAGAUGCUCUCUCACAACCGGAAACAUCAGGACUACAGAUGGAUAGAAGAAGCUUUUAUCAAAAUCUUCCCUUUCUGACAAUUGAGAGAAUUUCUCUGCAAGAUAAAUUUAACUCUGUUCUUGAUCAUGCAUCUGUAUGUGUCUGUGCUCAACUGAAUUGGGUUUGCUUGGUGUGAUCUUUCCCAGAACAAGAAGCUUCAUGAGUAAGUAGUAGAACUGGAGGGAAAGGGUAGAGUUUUUCUGUUAUGUACCAUCAAGAUAUUAGUCUUUAAUACUGUCUUGCUGGCUAUGUACUAAAAAUGGUGCUACCAUGCCUCAUCAAGAUAUGUAUGCUUGUGAUAUGCUCAAUCUGGGAUGGUCCAGUCUGAUGUUUUGUUAUGCUUCAAAAGGUGACUGAAUCUGUGCCAUAAGCCGUCGUUGGACAAAAUGAAUGGAGAGGGAGAUAAAAUACAUGAGGGGGUUGCUG